This 572-nucleotide long non-coding RNA is filed under the name Olea europaea (common olive). RNAcentral's name for it is "long non-coding RNA (OEUR_LNC011634)". Lineage: Eukaryota; Viridiplantae; Streptophyta; Magnoliopsida; Lamiales; Oleaceae. The record is from RNAcentral.
UUUUACACGCUGAUUCCGAAGUUGUGACGGAGAGUAAAGAGAGAGACGCCAAAAGUCUUGGUUGGACUUGGCGAUCAGUUCAAAUCAGCAAUGACUAAGCGAACGAGAAUGAGGCUGGCUACGUAUAUAUAAGGUACACCUAGCUAUAUAGGGUGGAUUGGCUUUUUUUGUAUCCUGAUUUGAAGUAAUAAGAAAGAAGAUGGUAUUUAUACAAUAGAUAAAAUGAAUACAUAGAAAUGCAAGUAUUUAACAAUGACAGUGCAAAGGCAGGCAGCAGAUCCCAGAAAACAACCACUCAAUUACGUGUAGAGAGAGGUGUUGAAAGCAACUAAUCAUAGAUACAGAGGCUGGCAGGCUGAACAGCCGUAAAGAUGAUGGAUGCAUUUUAGUCAAAAAAGAAGGAUUGGAUUGCGAAUUUGUGAUGAAGCAAGGAAGAAAGGAAUGGAAGGGAAUGGAGAACUGGGCCUGAAUUUUAUUCAUCUUUCCCGCCCUCAUUUAAUGCUGAGUUUCUUGAUUGUGCCAAGUAGCACAAACUGAUUUUUCCCUAAUGUUUGUUACUCUUGUCGCCCGUG